GAGGAUGUAGCUCAGUCAGUAGAGCACUUGCCUGGUGUGCAAUACCUUGGGUUCUAUUCCCAGCCCCA
This is a non-coding RNA of Mus musculus (house mouse), 68 nucleotides long. NCBI's taxonomy places the organism in Eukaryota, Metazoa, Chordata, Mammalia, Rodentia, Muridae. The record is from Rfam.